Molecule: ribosomal RNA, 497 nt
Filed under: uncultured Actinomycetes bacterium
Lineage: Bacteria; Bacillati; Actinomycetota; Actinomycetes
Description: bacterial SSU rRNA
Rfam family: Bacterial small subunit ribosomal RNA
Source: RNAcentral
AGAGUUUGAUCAUGGCUCAGGACGAACGCUGGCGGCGUGCUUAACACAUGCAAGUCGAACGAUGAACCACUUCGGUGGGGAUUAGUGGCGAACGGGUGAGUAACACGUGGGCAAUCUGCCCUUCACUCUGGGACAAGCCCUGGAAACGGGGUCUAAUACCGGAUACCACUACCGCAGGCAUCUGUGGUGGUUGAAAGCUCCGGCGGUGAAGGAUGAGCCCGCGGCCUAUCAGCUUGUUGGUGAGGUAAUGGCUCACCAAGGCGACGACGGGUAGCCGGCCUGAGAGGGCGACCGGCCACACUGGGACUGAGACACGGCCCAGACUCCUACGGGAGGCAGCAGUGGGGAAUAUUGCACAAUGGGCGAAAGCCUGAUGCAGCGACGCCGCGUGAGGGAUGACGGCCUUCGGGUUGUAAACCUCUUUCAGCAGGGAAGAAGCGAAAGUGACGGUACCUGCAGAAGAAGCGCCGGCUAACUACGUGCCAGCAGCCGCGGUA